UGGAGAUAAACAUUAGUUAACAUGUCACACU
This 31-nucleotide non-coding RNA is filed under the name Rattus norvegicus (Norway rat). The record is from RNAcentral. Lineage: Eukaryota; Metazoa; Chordata; Mammalia; Rodentia; Muridae.